GACGGCUCAUUACAACAGGUAUAAUUUACUUGAUCUUGAAAGAAUCCUACUUGGRAUAACUGUGGUAAUUCUAGAGCUAAUACAUGCCCUAAAGCUCUGACCUCGCGGGAAGAGUGCAUUUAUUAGAUCAAAACCAAGCGGCUUCGGCCGUCUACCACUGACUUAAAGUAACUAAGCUGAUCGUAUGGUCUUGUACCGACGACGUAUCUUUCAAGUAUCUGCCUUAUCAACUUUCGAUGGUAGUGUAGUGGACUACCAUGGUUGUGACGGGUAACGGAGGAUAAGGGUUCGACUCCGGAGAGGGAGCUUGAGACACGGCUACCAUGUCUAAGGACAGCAGCAGGCGCGCAAAUUACCCACUCUCAGAACGAGGAGGUAGUGACGAAAAAUAACGAGACCGUUCUCUAUGAGGCCGGUCAUCGGAAUGGGUACAAUCUAAACCCUUUAACGAGUAUCUAUGAGAGGGCAAGUCUGGUGCCAGCAGCCGCGGUAAUUCCAGCUCUCAAAAUGCAUAGAAUUAUUGCUGCGGUUAAAAAGCUCGUAGUUGGAUCUGUGCUGGAAACUGGGUCCGCCUUCGGGUGUGCACUCAGCUUUCCGGCUUUUUGCUGGUUUUCCCGUUGUGGCCUUUACCGGUUGCAGCGGGUGGCUGGCGAGUUUACCUUGAAGAAAUCAAAGUGCUUAAUACAGGCGAUUUGCUUGAAUGUGGUGCAUGGAAUAAUAGAAAAGGAUUUCGGUUCUCUUUUAUUGGUUUUACGAGCUGAGAUAAUGGUUAACAGAGACAAACGGGGGCAUUCGUAUCGUUGCGUGAGAGGUGAAAUUCUUGGACCGCAGCGAGACGAACUACAGCGAAAGCAUUUGCCAAGAAUGUCUUCAUUAAUCAAGAACGAAAGUCAGAGGUUCGAAGGCGAUCARAUACCGCCCUAGUUCUGACCGUAAACGAUGCCAACUAGCGAUCCGCCGGCGGAUAUUUCGCCCUGGUGGGGAGCUUCCCGGAAACGAAAGUCUUCCGGUUCCGGGGGAAGUAUGGUUGCAAAGCUGAAACUUAAAGGAAUUGACGGAAGGGCACCACCAGGAGUGGAGCCUGCGGCUUAAUUUGACUCAACACGGGGAAACUCACCCGGCCCGGACACCGUGAGGAUUGACAGAUUGAAAGCUCUUUCUUGAUUCGGUGGUUGGUGGUGCAUGGCCGUUCUUAGUU
This 1198-nucleotide ribosomal RNA is filed under the name Nematoda environmental sample. Its description in RNAcentral is "SSU rRNA". It matches the Rfam family "Eukaryotic small subunit ribosomal RNA", at positions 91 to 1310 of the family's 1831-position model. Lineage: Eukaryota; Metazoa; Nematoda. The record is from RNAcentral.